Molecule: ribosomal RNA, 275 nt
Filed under: uncultured bacterium
Lineage: Bacteria
Description: partial 16S ribosomal RNA
Rfam family: Bacterial small subunit ribosomal RNA
Source: RNAcentral
GCGUGAGUGAUGAAGGCCCUAGGGUUGUAAAGCUCUUUCGCUAGAGAAGAUAAUGACGGUAUCUAGUAAAGAAGCCCCGGCUAACUUCGUGCCAGCAGCCGCGGUAAUACGAAGGGGGCUAGCGUUGUUCGGAAUUACUGGGCGUAAAGCGCACGUAGGCGGACAUUUAAGUCAGGGGUGAAAUCCCGGGGCUCAACCCCGGAACUGCCUUUGAUACUGGGUGUCUUGAGUAUGGAAGAGGUGAGUGGAAUUCCGAGUGUAGAGGUGAAAUUCGU